Long non-coding RNA from Globicephala melas (long-finned pilot whale), 507 nucleotides. RefSeq lists it as uncharacterized. NCBI's taxonomy places the organism in Eukaryota, Metazoa, Chordata, Mammalia, Artiodactyla, Delphinidae. The record is from RefSeq and is a predicted model, not a curated record.
UGUAGAUCUGAGCUGAAGAGUGGCCCUGGUCCUUUGGCUCUCGGGCGGCUGGGCAGGGUUCCUCUGGGGUAGCUGGAAUGGUAGCACAGGGGGGCAAGAAGAAUGGUGAGCUCUGUAAUCAUGGUUGAAUGAGAAUUGAUGGAUUGGAAAGCAGUUGGCUCCACCUCUGAGUUUAGAGGUCAAGCUCUGAACGAGCUUUAUCCAUCCUCUCACUGACUGCACUGGGAUCCACGUUACCCUAAGCUGGAAUACACAUGUGGAAGAACAUGGCCACUAGAUUGUCUGAAAAGGCAUAAAAGUUACAUAUUAUACAAGAGGGGGCUUCCCUGGUGGCGCAGUGGUGAAGAGUCUGCCUGCCAAUGCAGGAGACGCGGGUUCGGGCCCUGGUCCGGGAGGAUCCCACAUGCCGCGGAGCAACUAAGCCCGUGGGCCACAACUACUGAGCCUGUGCUCUAGAGCCUGAGAGCCACAGCUACUGAGCCCACGUGCCACAACUACUGAAGCCCG